This 253-nucleotide ribosomal RNA is filed under the name uncultured bacterium. Its description in RNAcentral is "partial 16S ribosomal RNA". It matches the Rfam family "Bacterial small subunit ribosomal RNA", at positions 524 to 776 of the family's 1533-position model. The record is from RNAcentral.
UACGUAGGGGGCAAGCGUUAUCCGGAAUUACUGGGUGUAAAGGGAGCGUAGACGGUUAUGUAAGUCUGGAGUGAAAGGCGGGGGCCCAACCCCCGGACUGCUCUGGAAACUAUGUUACUAGAGUGCAGGAGAGGUAAGCGGAAUUCCUAGUGUAGCGGUGAAAUGCGUAGAUAUUAGGAGGAACACCAGUGGCAAAGGCGGCUUACUGGACUGUAACUGACGUUGAGGCUCGAAAGCGUGGGGAGCAAACAGG